CCGGGUCGGCGACUGCCCGAAACCAAACAGUGCACUGGCAUGUUGUAUUUUUUGUGCCGUCGCGCCGCGGCGGGCUGCUCGCUGGGGGAGCCGCGGGCCCUGGAGUGGGUUUCUUACCCUUCCGGGCCGGCCUGCUAAGGGCGCUGUUCAGAACCGCGCUGAAGAACUUUCAGAGGGUGUCCCUAGUGGUCUUCGGGCCCUGGACGAGAAAAAAACCCAGUCA
This 223-nucleotide unclassified non-coding RNA is filed under the name uncultured fungus. RNAcentral's name for it is "sequence contains ITS1". Lineage: Eukaryota; Fungi. The record is from RNAcentral.